Cornus florida is the source of this 696-nucleotide long non-coding RNA. RefSeq lists it as uncharacterized. The transcript is spliced from 2 exons. The record is from RefSeq and is a predicted model, not a curated record. Lineage: Eukaryota; Viridiplantae; Streptophyta; Magnoliopsida; Cornales; Cornaceae.
CAGCAAGGCUUGGCGCGGUAUAAAUAAAACAAAAUAUCGAGUGAAAGCCCACCAAGCAAGAACAAGAAGACCGAGGCAUCCAAAAAUUUUUUUUUUUUUUUUUUCUCCGAUAUACCGAAGCAUGAAGAAGAAGACCGAGGCAUCCAAAAUUUUUUUUUUUUUUUUUUUUUUUCUCCGAUAUACCGAAGCAUGAAUAAGAAGACCGAGGCAUCCAAAAUUUUUUUUUUUUCUUUUUUGAUAUACCGAAGAAUGAACAAGAAGACCGAGGCAUCCAAAAUAUAUAUAUUUUUUUUCUCCGAUAUACCAAAGCAAGAACAAGAAGACCAAGGCUUCCAAAAUUUUUUUUUUUUUUUUUUUUUUUUUUAAUAUAUAUAUAUAUAUACCGAAGAAUGAACAAGAAGACCGAGGCAACCAAAAUUUUUUUUUAUUUUCCUCCGAUAUACCAAAGCAAGAACAAGAAGACCGAGGCUUCAAAAAAAUUUUUUUUUUUUUUUCUUUUUUGAUAUACCGAAGAAUGAACAAGAAGACCGAGGCAUCCAAAAUUUUUUUUUUUUUUUUCUCCGAUAUACCAAAGCAAGAACAAGAAGACCGAAGCAUCCAAAAUUUUUUUUUUUUUUUCUCCGAUAUACCAAAGCAAGAACAAGAAGACCGAAGUCUCAAAUUUUUUUUUUUUUUUUUUUUUUUUUUUUUUUUUUA